AACGAUCGAGAUAGAAAGAAUACAAUAGUGUGCGUAGUGUGCGUGACUCGUACGAGAAAGGGAAGCCAACGAUCGAGAUAGGAAGUAAGACGGAUCAAGCCAGAUCAAGUUUUUGCUCAAUCUUUUGCCAAAAUUAAAAUUUUAACAAGAUAGAUGCUAGGUCUCUCAAUUUGGUUUCCCCUCUCUUCCUUAGCCAUAGUUUUCGCAUGAGAAAUAUAAAAUUAGCACCAAAUUUUGUCGCAAUUAGCGAGAUCGAGAUUUAAUUGUGUGAAUAAUGUUUCGUACGAGUAAAGGGAUUAUCAUUAAUCCUAAAGUUUUACCCCAAACUUCAUCUUUGCAUCUUCAAAUCUGCACCUUUUGUCCCAAUUGUAGAAGCCCUAACUUUGAAGACCCAAAGAUUCGUCAAUUUGUUCGAAGGUAUUUUUUCCAACAACUUUUUUCAUCCGUAUUCCAUUAGUUGCUGUAAUAAUUCAUAUAUACAGACACAUGUAUGUAUGUGUGUAUUUGUUUAUGUAAGAGACGCUAUUAUUAUACUUUUUGAUGUCUUAUUUUUCCUUUUAUGGUGCAUUAUGUAUAUAAUAGUGUAGUCGAAUUUUUUUGCAAGGUUUACAGAUCUUCAGUUUAACUUGUCCACCACUAAAAGUUUUAUGGUUCGUCGCAUUCAAAGACAUAUCUAUUUUUCUGUUUUCCUCUCAAUUUUGUCAUUCAAUUGUUGACUCUGUUUCUUUCACGACCUGCAUAACUUUGUUGUGGACAUUUCACAUUUUCUAUGAUAAGGUAGUGCUAUUACAAAAUUUCACCCUUUUAGACUUUUAUGAAUAUUGGUGUUAUAUUGUCUGUUGGACUAAUAUGAAAUUUAGUUAUUGGGCAUCUGGUUUCGUUCCUAUUAUUAGUUGUAAUGUUAAUAUAUUAUUAGAAUAAUGUAUUAUGUAUGAUAUGAAUGUACAUUAUGUUUUAUUAAUAUGUUUAGGAUAAAUGUCAAUAGAUCCGUAAUAGGAUUCAAAUAAUAUUUAUAUAAUAGUCAAAAAAUUCUCAGUCAUACUCUGAAACUCUUUGAUGUUAGUUAAAUUGAGCUUGCUCGGUAGGCACUGAGGACAUUACUUAAUGGUAUGCCAAUUUUAGUUGCAAAGUACCAUGUCACCAUGUGUAUCUUUGGUGCAAAUCAGUUGAGAGUAUUUUAGUAAGAAUAAUCUGCAAGAGCUUUUCUUUCAACGGAAACAUAUUAGAUUAUCCCCUGUUGAGAUAGUGCCUCCUCACGCUGUGAUCAGUAUAAAUUGUGAUUGGACCAUAUUAGUGGGGAUUAACAUUGUUGGCUAUUAAAACUUGUACAUACAGAUAUUAAGAGUUUUGAGUAGCAUUCCAUUAAUAACUUGGAUUUAAGCUUUUGGGUAAUAUCAAUGACUACUUUGUAUUGCUUUUUCUUUAUUGCUUAUGAAAAGAAAAAAGAAAAGAGCACUUUCAUUUAUUCUCUCUUGAACAGAUAGAUUGAUACACAAAAGGAUUUUUUUUCCCUUCCUUUUGUCACAAACCAUUUUGAAAACUCUUUACUAGCUUCUCUUGAUAUUUCAGGAUGGAUCACAUUCUAAUUUGAGUGCCUAAUUUAUGACUUGAUUUUAAAUUCACUACUGUCGUGGGAAGAAAGAAUUAAGGAGCAAAAGAAAUAUACUACUAGUUAUAGUACACUGGAUGUCUCUCUCUUUCUUUUUUGGUAAUAAGCGAUGUCCUUCAUGUACUACGUACUAUUUUCUCUUCCCUUUCAAACUAAUUUUUUGCAUGCCAUUCUCUUAAUAGUUGUGCGGUAAAUAGCUAUACUACAAUUUAUAUAUUUAGUUGGUCUUGAAAUGCAUGUUUUUAUUCUAGUAGUGGAUAGCUAUGCUAUAGUUGCAUCUUGCUUCCACAAAUAAACAUAAUCUAUACAUUCUAUAGAUGAUAUAUGUAACGAAGUCGUGCCGGCACAACGAUACUAUGUGUGAGCCUCAUUCGUGACUAAGAAUUUAUGUUUUAUUUACAUGUGAUAUGAUUGUUUGUAACUGAACUUGUUUUGUUUUGUUCUAUUACAUAGUGCGCUAUUGAGGGACUAGUUUUGGGCAAGGUUGACAUACAUAGUAUCGUGACUUACCAUUGUAGAAUCUAGACAAAAUGUAAUCAGUUCACAUACAUAAUUUAUAAUACUAUUAUAUGGGACCUAAAUUUGUUGCCACAAUUAAAUAAUCUGUUUAUUACUGUGAUCAAACUUCUGUGCGAACAAUUUUUUAAUGGUUUUUUCCUUAGAAAAUAGUGAUUUGUGAAAUGUGUGCAUUUUAUUAGAAAAUAAGUUUACAUGUUUUUUUUUGGAAAUGAUAAAUGGAUGAUCUUCAUAUGAUAAUCAAGCCUGAGUAUGCAUAUUCAAGGCAAGGUUGUUCUUCUCAUUUGGCCAAGUACAGAUCUUAUUUCUUCUUUUCCUAUUUCUAUAAAUAAUUCUAUUAUCACCACAUGGGAUCAUUGUUUAGAGGAAAUUAUUGCGAUUGUAGCUGAUAAUUUUCAGAUAACACCAAGGUGCUAAAGACCCUGACCUUUUGGUUGCAUUAUUUUCUUCACUAACAUAUUUUACCAUACAAACUAAGCUAAACUAUAGUUCCUUAUGUAUCCGUUGAGAAUGAUGAGACUAAAAAUAAGGUUCCUAAUUAACAUGAAAUAUUUUAAUGUAAACAUAAUGGAAGCAGUAUUACUUUGACACUAUUAGAAGCUCAACAAGUUCAAAAAUUAGAUAAAAACAAAGCAAGAAAAUACAAACCAGUAGAGGGAAACAUAAUUGCAGAUAUUGAAAUACCUUACUUUACUUUGUUUUCCUCAACUUCUUAUGGAAAACUACAUUUUGUCAAACUUCCACUUAUUUGGAACAGAGUGUAUAAUAAUUGUUAAUAACAGAAUCCCCAUUGUCUACUUUGCUUUUAUAGCUAUUAUUAUUGCAUGUGCAAGUUGGUUAAGCAUAGUUAACUUCUUGUUCCAUUUAGGAGCAAAGUUGGAUAAAACAUUAAAAAGAAAAUGUUAAAAACAAGGUAGUAGAUAUUUUGUUGGACUAUGGCUAAGGGGGCAGAAAGAGUGAGAGAGAGAGAGGAGACGUUCAUGCACCCCAAGAAGCAUCAAUGUAUAAAAGGAUGUCCCGCUAUUAUCAUCCCUCUUGCACAUUCAGCACCAAUUUGUGGACACCUCCCUCCGUGUUAGAUUAUCCCCUGUUGAGAUAGUGCCUCCUCACGCUGUUGUCCAAGUAAAAGCAGCCAUUAAAAGGUGCACCAGCCCUCCAAAUCCCUAUUUAGGGAAUGUUAAACCCUGCUUUUAGAAGCUCUGCAUAGUAAUAUCUAUACGCCCCUUGGAACACCUUGUGUAAAUAGAGUACAGUUUCUCAGUAAAUGCCUUUUGAUAUAUCAUUAUUGUGGAUAGUUCAACUUUUCCAUCAUUAUGAUAGGAUCAGUAUAAAUUUUGAUUGGCCCAUGUUAAUGGGGAUUAACAUUGUUGGCUAUUAGAACUUAUACAUACAGAUAUUAAGAGUUUUGAGUAGCAUUCCAUUAAUAACUUGGAUUUAAGCUUUUGGCUGAUAUAGAACUGAUUUUUAUAAAAUCACUGAUCGUAUUGAAGUUACUUAAAUUUGGUAAUGCAAUUUUAGUUUUGAAUUUGAUAUUCAUUUGGCUUAUGAUUUUUUUUUCUUUUUUAAUUCCCAACUCGAAUAAUGUUUUUAUGUAUGCAGGUACAACAGAGAGACUAGCUAACAAAUUUGAUCAAUUUAAACUCUCUG
This 3772-nucleotide long non-coding RNA is filed under the name Panax ginseng (ginseng). RNAcentral's name for it is "long non-coding RNA (PGIN_LNC008132)". Lineage: Eukaryota; Viridiplantae; Streptophyta; Magnoliopsida; Apiales; Araliaceae. The record is from RNAcentral.